AAAUUGAAGAGUUUGAUCAUGGCUCAGAUUGAACGCUGGCGGCAGGCCUAACACAUGCAAGUCGAACGGUAACAGGAAGCAGCUUGCUGCUUCGCUGACGAGUGGCGGACGGGUGAGUAAUGUCUGGGAAACUGCCUGAUGGAGGGGGAUAACUACUGGAAACGGUGGCUAAUACCGCAUAACGUCGCAAGACCAAAGAGGGGGACCUUCGGGCCUCUUGCCAUCAGAUGUGCCCAGAUGGGAUUAGCUAGUUGGUGAGGUAACGGCUCACCAAGGCGACGAUCCCUAGCUGGUCUGAGAGGAUGACCAGCCACACUGGAACUGAGACACGGUCCAGACUCCUACGGGAGGCAGCAGUGGGGAAUAUUGCACAAUGGGCGCAAGCCUGAUGCAGCCAUGCCGCGUGUAUGAAGAAGGCCUUCGGGUUGUAAAGUACUUUCAGCGGGGAGGAAGGUGUUGUGGUUA
Molecule: ribosomal RNA, 465 nt
Filed under: Salmonella enterica
Lineage: Bacteria; Pseudomonadati; Pseudomonadota; Gammaproteobacteria; Enterobacterales; Enterobacteriaceae
Description: bacterial SSU rRNA
Rfam family: Bacterial small subunit ribosomal RNA
Source: RNAcentral